CCCAGGUCAUGCUACUCGGCUGCAUCAGUCAUAUAGUGCCCGAGUCAUGAUGCUCGACCACAUCAGUCAUUCAGUGACCGAGUCAUGAUGCUCGGCCACAGCAGCCAUACAAUGCCUAAGCCGUAUUGCUCGAUCACAUCAGUCAUACAACGUUUGAGUCAUGCUGCUCGAUCAGAUCAACCAUACCAUACCCAAACCGUGCUAUUCGGCCACAUCAGAUCGUAGUACCCGAACCAUGAAGUUCGGCCACACCAGUCUACAACACCUCAAAUCGUGCCUCACGGUUAUGCUAGCCUUCGAAAAAC
This 305-nucleotide long non-coding RNA is filed under the name Musa acuminata (dwarf banana). Its description in RNAcentral is "long non-coding RNA (MACU_LNC001909)". The record is from RNAcentral. Lineage: Eukaryota; Viridiplantae; Streptophyta; Magnoliopsida; Zingiberales; Musaceae.